This 345-nucleotide long non-coding RNA is filed under the name Elaeis guineensis (African oil palm). RNAcentral's name for it is "long non-coding RNA (EGUI_LNC038975)". The record is from RNAcentral. Lineage: Eukaryota; Viridiplantae; Streptophyta; Magnoliopsida; Arecales; Arecaceae.
UCAUGAACGUCGUUAAUUUAAUUAUUAUUUCUUUAGGAACAAGAUUUAAUUUUUGAAAUCUAAAUUAGAUUUCCUCUAAAGUGGGUUUCACCGCAUCAUAUGAGAUAUGAUAUGGUGGACAAGUUAGAGGAUAGGUUUGUCAAAGCUUGUCUAUGGGAUAUCCCAAAAGGGUUUAAGAUGUCACUUUCUUUUCCCAGUGGUUCACAAUGUAAUUGUGAGCAAUCAUACUAUUUUUUUGGAAAUAGUGAGAGGAUGAACUCCAAGAGAAAUCUCUAAAGAACAAUGAGUCACAGAAACUGUACAACUUAUUUAUAAUGACCCAGUAUAUAUAGUACCACCUCCAUC